AAGUCGUAACAAGGUUUCCGUAGGUGAACCUGCGGAAGGAUCAUUGACAAAUCUAAACGCGGCGGCGCGUUGGUGCUGCUGCACACAGCGGCGGCAACAACAGCGCAGCACAUCCUAACCUGUGAACGGCAGCGCAAGCUGUUUGUGGCGGCAGCUGCAGAGUUAGCUCUGUGGCAGCCAGCCAACACAUUUACGUCGUACAAAACUGUCUUACACACACACAAACAAACAAAAUACAACUUUUAGCAAUGGAUCUCUUGGCUUCU
RNAcentral lists this unclassified non-coding RNA (266 nucleotides) under fungal sp. Its description in RNAcentral is "partial internal transcribed spacer region". The stretch from base 1 to 46 matches the Rfam family "Eukaryotic small subunit ribosomal RNA", at positions 1786 to 1831 of the family's 1831-position model. Lineage: Eukaryota; Fungi. The record is from RNAcentral.